RNAcentral lists this long non-coding RNA (204 nucleotides) under Nicotiana benthamiana. Its description in RNAcentral is "long non-coding RNA (NBEN_LNC041813)". Lineage: Eukaryota; Viridiplantae; Streptophyta; Magnoliopsida; Solanales; Solanaceae. The record is from RNAcentral.
ACAGUUGCCCCUCUGUGCUCCAACACAUGAAGAGUUUUCAGAAGAAGAUAAAAUGAGCAAGUACGAGCAAUUUAUUCCUCUUGGAUACUCCAUGCGAAGCGAUUUGAAAAAGCUUGACCGAACCUUGCUUCAAAUGUUGCCUACAUAUCUUUGGCUAUAAAGAAAUAAUGUCAGUGUAGUUCUAGAAAUUUUGGCAGAUGGGAC